RNAcentral lists this ribosomal RNA (399 nucleotides) under uncultured Pantoea sp. Its description in RNAcentral is "bacterial SSU rRNA". It matches the Rfam family "Bacterial small subunit ribosomal RNA", at positions 49 to 444 of the family's 1533-position model. The record is from RNAcentral. Lineage: Bacteria; Pseudomonadati; Pseudomonadota; Gammaproteobacteria; Enterobacterales; Erwiniaceae.
UAACACAUGCAAGUCGAACGGCAGCACAGAAGAGCUUGCUCUUUGGGUGGCGAGUGGCGGACGGGUGAGUAAUGUCUGGGAAACUGCCCGAUGGAGGGGGAUAACUACUGGAAACGGUAGCUAAUACCGCAUAACGUCGCGAGACCAAAGUGGGGGACCUUCGGGCCUCACACCAUCGGAUGUGCCCAGAUGGGAUUAGCUAGUAGGUGGGGUAAUGGCUCACCUAGGCGACGAUCCCUAGCUGGUCUGAGAGGAUGACCAGCCACACUGGAACUGAGACACGGUCCAGACUCCUACGGGAGGCAGCAGUGGGGAAUAUUGCACAAUGGGCGCAAGCCUGAUGCAGCCAUGCCGCGUGUAUGAAGAAGGCCUUCGGGUUGUAAAGUACUUUCGGCGGGG